This 425-nucleotide ribosomal RNA is filed under the name uncultured fungus. RNAcentral's name for it is "eukaryotic LSU rRNA". It matches the Rfam family "Eukaryotic large subunit ribosomal RNA", at positions 1 to 417 of the family's 3401-position model. The record is from RNAcentral. Lineage: Eukaryota; Fungi.
UCGAUCUCAAAUCAGGUAGGACUACCCGCUGAACUUAAGCAUAUCAAUAAGCGGAGGAAAAGAAACUAACAAGGAUUCCCCUAGUAACUGCGAGUGAAGCGGGAAGAGCUCAAAUUUAAAAUCUGGCGUGCCUCUGGCCGUCCGAGUUGUAGUCUGGAGAAGCGUCUUCCGUGUUGGACCGUGUAUAAGUCUCUUGGAACAGGGCGUCAUAGAGGGUGAGAAUCCCGUCUUUGACACGGACUACCAAUGCUUUGUGAUGCGCUCUCAAAGAGUCGAGUUGUUUGGGAAUGCAGCUCAAAAUGGGUGGUAAAUUCCAUCUAAAGCUAAAUAUAGGCGAGAGACCGAUAGCGAACAAGUACCGUGAGGGAAAGAUGAAAAGCACUUUGGAAAGAGAGUUAAACAGUACGUGAAAUUGCUGAAAGGGA